AAGAGUGGCGAACGGGUGAGUAACACGUGGGUAACCUGCCCAUCAGAAGGGGAUAACACUUGGAAACAGGUGCUAAUACCGUAUAACAAUCGAAACCGCAUGGUUUUGAUUUGAAAGGCGCUUUCGGGUGUCGCUGAUGGAUGGACCCGCGGUGCAUUAGCUAGUUGGUGAGGUAACGGCUCACCAAGGCCACGAUGCAUAGCCGACCUGAGAGGGUGAUCGGCCACAUUGGGAUGAGACACGGCCCAAACUCCUACGGGAGGCAGCAGUAGGGAAUCUUCGGCAAUGGACGAAAGUCUGACCGAGCAACGCCGCGUGAGUGAAGAAGGUUUUCGGAUCGUAAAACUCUGUUGUUAGAGAAGAACAAGGAUGAGAGUAACUGUUCAUCCCUUGACGGUAUCUAACCAGAAAGCACGGCUAACUACGUGCCAGCAGCCGCGGUAAUACGUAGGUGGCAAGCGUUGUCCGGAUUUAUUGGGCGUAAAGCGAGCGCAGGCGGUUUCUUAAGUCUGAUGUGAAAGCCCCCGGCUCAACCGGGGAGGGUCAUUGGAAACUGGGAGACUUGAGUGCAGAAGAGGAGAGUGGAAUUCCAUGUGUAGCGGUGAAAUGCGUAGAUAUAUGGAGGAACACCAGUGGCGAAGGCGGCUCUCUGGUCUGUAACUGACGCUGAGGCUCGAAAGCGUGGGGAGCAAACAGGAUAUAC
Molecule: ribosomal RNA, 703 nt
Filed under: Enterococcus lactis
Lineage: Bacteria; Bacillati; Bacillota; Bacilli; Lactobacillales; Enterococcaceae
Description: bacterial SSU rRNA
Rfam family: Bacterial small subunit ribosomal RNA
Source: RNAcentral